GAAAUAUUGGUUACCCACUUUCAGUGCGAAAUAGACCUUGUUCAGUUAAAAAGUAAUUCCCGGGUGCACAUCAGAAUGUAACUAACUGUCCAGCUGUCCCCAGUGAGCAUGUAAAUCUCUUUAAAUUAAGAUGGCAUGUAAUUAAAUUAUUCAGCCGUGGACAGGCUUCUCCACGCAGGUAGUUUACUUUCCCUUAAAGUAACCUCUUUGCCUCUGAGGAGUCCCACACCCAGAAGUGACUCAACUGUGUAACACCACUAGUAAAAUCCCUAGCACUUGACAAGCAAUAGGCUUGGACAUAAAACAUCAGUCACUCUACAGUGAGUCACAUGAAAUCUGUGAGCGUUGCGGGGAGGCUUCCAGGGAAAGGCAGCGGGGGGCGGCGGGCUGCUCCAGCUCCCCGUGCAGGAGCGCACCGGCCCGGCCUGUCCAUCGUCUCCAUCCUCCCCAUCUGGCCAAGCCGCCUCCUGAGGGGUGUGGGCAAGACUUCAGGAACAGCGUGUAGCACCCCAACUGGCCUAGGCUCCCCAUCUUCCCCCGCACGCCUAAGUUUAGCCCCUCGGACGCUUCCGAAGGUCUGAACCGGACGAGCCCGUCUUUCGGGACGCGAAUCUGGGGCUUUAUCGUGGCUCCACGGGUUGGCCGGACCCGCCAGGGCCUCGCGCCGUCCUUCGGGCCCGGAACAAACAGCCGAUGACCCCGGGAGGCCGGGUCACCUUCGCCCUCGCCUCUGCCCCGCACCUCGCACCCCUCUCCCCUGCGCGGGGCAGGUAUCCACGGGCCGGGGGGAAACCUGCUGGAGCUCGGCCACCGCGAUGCGGGCGGCCUAGGACGGCCUCGCGCCGCCCUCGGCUUAUUUAUCCGCCCGGCACAGUUUCCAUGGCUCCGCGGCCGUCCUCCGUCCCCUUCCUCGCGCAGAGCCGGGCAGCAGGCGCGGACCGAGCCCGCCCGGUGGGGACUCCGGGUGGGGGCCGCGCGUCGUCUCCAAGCCCCCCGGCGCGUGCAGCCGCACCCCCCAUCCUGCCCCCGGGCCUCCUCUGCAGCCCCUCCCGCACGCCGGUCUGUGGCCCGCGGGACCCGGAGCCGGGCCCCCAGGCGCAGCGCAGCCCCCGGCCUGCCCGGGGCGGGGGAGGGGCGCGGCGCAGGCAAAGUUGCUUUGCUCGCGCAGAACUUGCAGCUGAGACGGCGGCUUCCCGCCCCCUUCCUGCCCUCGGCGGCUCGGAACACACACCCACCCGUCACCACCCGCUACCUGCCGGCGCCCCUUUGGCCGCGGCCAGGACUCGGCAGCAUCCCCUCCCGGUGCCCAUGAGGAGCCCAGGUUGCCAGCGUUGUCGGGCUGGGGGCGGGCGCACCUCACCUCCCCGCGCCGCCAAGGGGACCGGGCGAGACACCACCACCACCACCACCACCCCUUUGCCCGCGAGGCGGCCGCGCCAGCCUUGGAAAGCCAGUCUUGCUGUUGUGGUUCCCCAGCAUUAUCGGUGGACGGUUACCAGGGAUCCCGGGGGAUGUGUUUCCCUGUGACCCUUUGGGAAGAAAAACUCCGUUGCCUCAGUAACCGAGUUUGGCUUGGCUGCAGUGAUGCAGUGAGUGUUCUAGUGGACCUUAGCUACAGCAUGAAGGACAGCAGCUUCGGGAGCAAGGCCCAAAAGAGCCAUGCAGCCCCAGACUCCGAAGAAAUGUGCAACUGCUGAAGUUUUAUUCUGAAGCAGAAAGGGGUAUGUUAUCCUCUAAAGAGAUCUGUAGAGUUAUCUGAAAAGCUGACUUAGGAAUUCAUGUAGAUUUCUGUUUCCAAGGCAACCCUAGAUAAAAAAAUCCAAAUUGAGACUUUGCGUUAAAGAGUGUAUAUUCAUAGAAAGCAAAAACUGGCAAGUUGGAUUUUUGUAAAUGGAAUCAUACUCUAAAUACAUAAA
Manis javanica (Malayan pangolin) is the source of this 1916-nucleotide non-coding RNA. The record is from RefSeq and is a predicted model, not a curated record. NCBI's taxonomy places the organism in Eukaryota, Metazoa, Chordata, Mammalia, Pholidota, Manidae.